This 564-nucleotide unclassified non-coding RNA is filed under the name Hevea brasiliensis (rubber tree). Lineage: Eukaryota; Viridiplantae; Streptophyta; Magnoliopsida; Malpighiales; Euphorbiaceae. The record is from RNAcentral.
GGACUUGAAUCCCUUUAUUGUAGAUAGAUUAUUGCAUGAGUCACAGUAUAUAUCUGAAAAACCCAUCGGGCAAUUCAAGUCCGGCUUGAAGGAGGGAGGGGAUCGGCUAAUAGCCAAAACUUCGUUGAUUUUUCAAAACGAUCUCUUUUCAUAAGACACCAAUCCAUGAAUUCCACCUUCGACCUGUGCUGCCCCUGUACGGACCUCUAGCCUUAAAACCUUUGAGCAUAAGAGGUCAUGGGCAGAUUUGAUGGAGAUAGCACCAAGAUCUUGGAACCCUUGCUUGACUGCUUGCAUGGUGUAAGGAAUGAACUUCAGGACUGAACCCUUAUCAGCAACUGCUCCAACAACCCCCUGAGCUAUCUUAAGAGUUGCAGUAUCCCCCAGGUACCUGGCAUCACUGCCUUUCGUCAUUGCUUCUAAAGAGCCCAUCCCCCGAUACUUCUUCACACGCUGACCAUUCUUAGUUUCGAAGGCCCCAGGGGCCUCGGUGCUCCCAGCCAAGAAACUUCCCAUCAUUACCGUGGAUGCACCAAGAACUAAAGCCUUAACAAUAUGCCCAGA